Molecule: ribosomal RNA, 468 nt
Filed under: uncultured bacterium
Lineage: Bacteria
Description: bacterial SSU rRNA
Rfam family: Bacterial small subunit ribosomal RNA
Source: RNAcentral
GGGCCCGCACAAGCGGUGGAGCAUGUGGUUUAAUUCGACGCAACGCGCAGAACCUUACCAGCCCUUGACAUCCCGGUCGCGGACUCCAGAGACGGAGUUCUUCAGUUCGGCUGGACCGGAGACAGGUGCUGCAUGGCUGUCGUCAGCUCGUGUCGUGAGAUGUUGGGUUAAGUCCCGCAACGAGCGCAACCCCCGUCCUUAGUUGCUACCAUUUAGUUGAGCACUCUAAGGAGACUGCCGGUGAUAAGCCGCGAGGAAGGUGGGGAUGACGUCAAGUCCUCAUGGCCCUUACGGGCUGGGCUACACACGUGCUACAAUGGCGGUGACAAUGGGAUGCAAAGGCGCAAGCCCCAGCAAAUCUCAAAAAGCCGUCUCAGUUCGGAUUGGGCUCUGCAACUCGAGCCCAUGAAGUUGGAAUCGCUAGUAAUCGUGGAUCAGCAUGCCACGGUGAAUACGUUCCCGGGCCUU